This 492-nucleotide ribosomal RNA is filed under the name uncultured bacterium. RNAcentral describes it as "partial 16S ribosomal RNA". It matches the Rfam family "Bacterial small subunit ribosomal RNA", at positions 29 to 507 of the family's 1533-position model. The record is from RNAcentral.
AGUGAACGCUGGCGGUAGGCCUAACACAUGCAAGUCGAACGGCAGCACAGUAAGAGCUUGCUCUUACGGGUGGCGAGUGGCGGACGGGUGAGGAAUACAUCGGAAUCUACUUUUUCGUGGGGGAUAACGUAGGGAAACUUACGCUAAUACCGCAUACGACCUACGGGUGAAAGCAGGGGAUCUUCGGACCUUGCGCGAUUGAAUGAGCCGAUGUCGGAUUAGCUAGUUGGCGGGGUAAAGGCCCACCAAGGCGACGAUCCGUAGCUGGUCUGAGAGGAUGAUCAGCCACACUGGAAAUGAGACACGGGCCAGACUCCUACGGGAGGCAGCAGUGGGGAAUAUUGGACAAUGGGCGCCAGGCUGAUCCAGCCAUACCGCGUGGGUGAAGAAGGCCUUCGGGUUGUAAAGCCCUUUUGUUGGGAAAGAAAAGCAGCAGGUUAAUACCCCGCUGUUCUGACGGUACCCAAAGAAUAAGCACCGGCUAACUUCGUG